Molecule: ribosomal RNA, 899 nt
Filed under: uncultured archaeon
Lineage: Archaea
Description: bacterial SSU rRNA
Rfam family: Archaeal small subunit ribosomal RNA
Source: RNAcentral
CGGUUGAUCCUGCCGGACCCCACUGCUAUCGGGAUGGGACUAAGACAUGCUAGUCGAGCGCCUCCCAAGCUAUUGUGGAGGCGCGGCACACAGCUCAGUAACACGCGGCCAAUCUGACCUUGGGACAAGGACAACUCCGGGAAACUGGAGCUAAUCCUUGAUAGGUGAGAAUUCCUGGAAUGGAUUCUCACCCAAAAAACGCCUAGACCAUGCUUCUAGGCGUUGCCCAAGGAAGAGGCCGCGGCCGAUCAGGUUGUUGGUGAGGCAACGGCUCACCAAACCUUUAACCGGUACGGGCCGUGAGAGCGGGAGCCCGGAGAUGGGCACUGAGACAAGGGCCCAGGCCCUACGGGGCGCAGCAGUCGCGAAAACUCCGCAAUACACGAAAGUGUGACGGGGCCAUCCCGAGUGCCAUCCGCUGAGGAUGGCUUUUCCCUAGUGUACAAAACUAGAGGAAUAAGGAGAGGGCAAGCCUGGUGUCAGCCGCCGCGGUAAUACCAGCUCUCCGAGUGGUGGGGACGCUUAUUGGGCCUAAAGCAUUCGUAGCCGGCCCUGCAAGUCCCCCGUUAAAUCCAACGACCUAAUCGUUGGGCUGCGGGGGAUACUGCCCGGCUAGGGGGCGGGAAAAGCCGACGGUACUCUUGGGGUAGGGGUGAAAUCCUAUAAUCCCAGGAGGACCACCAGUGGCAAGGCUGUCGGCUGGCACGCGCCCGACGGUGAGGGAUGAAAGCUGGGGGAGCGAACCGGAUUAGUAACCCGGAUGGUCCCAGCUGGAAACGAUGCAGGCUAGGUGUUGGAGCGGCUACGUGCCGCUCCAGUGCCGCAGUGAAGACUUUAAGCCUGCCGCCUGGGGAGUACGGCCGCAAGGCUGAAACUCAAAGGGAUUGGCGGGGGAGCAC